RNAcentral lists this ribosomal RNA (253 nucleotides) under uncultured bacterium. RNAcentral's name for it is "partial 16S ribosomal RNA". It matches the Rfam family "Bacterial small subunit ribosomal RNA", at positions 524 to 776 of the family's 1533-position model. The record is from RNAcentral.
UACGGGGGGGGCAAGCGUUGUUCGGAAUUACUGGGCGUAAAGGGCUCGUAGGUGGCCAACUAAGUCAGACGUGAAAUCCCUCGGCUUAACUGGGGAACUGCGUCUGAUACUGGAUGGCUUGAGUUCGGGAGAGGGAUGCGGAAUUCCAGGUGUAGCGGUGAAAUGCGUAGAUAUCUGGAGGAACACCGGUGGCGAAGGCGGCAUCCUGGACCGACACUGACACUGAGGAGCGAAAGCCAGGGGAGCAAACGGG